This 1222-nucleotide ribosomal RNA is filed under the name metagenome. RNAcentral describes it as "SSU rRNA". It matches the Rfam family "Eukaryotic small subunit ribosomal RNA", at positions 558 to 1800 of the family's 1831-position model. The record is from RNAcentral.
AGUCUGGUGCCAGCAGCCGCGGUAAUUCCAGCUCCAAUAGCGUAUAUUAAAGUUGUUGCAGUUAAAAAGCUCGUAGUUGGAUCUCAGGAUUUGGAUGGAUGGUUCGCUUUCGGGCGCUACUAUCUGUCUGACCUACUCUAGUCGUGGAUGCCUUGGGUGCUCUUAAUUGAGUGCUUUUGGUGCCCGACGCAAUUACUUUGAAAAAAUUAGAGUGCUCAAAGCAGGCGUAUUGCCUGAAUAGUGUUGCAUGGAAUAAUGAAAUAGGAGUUUACUUCUAUUUUGUUGGUUUUCGGAGGUGAACUAAUGAUUAACAGGGACAGACGGGGGCAUUUGUAUGGAGGGGUUAGAGGUGAAAUUCUUGAAUCCUCUCCAGACAAACUACUGCGAAAGCAUUCGCCAGGAAUGUUUUCACUAAUCAAGAACGAAAGUCAGAGGUUCGAAGACGAUCAGAUACCGUCCUAGUUCUGACCAUAAAUGAUGCCAUCUAACAAUCCACGAAGUUUGCUUGUACGAACUCGUGGGCGGUCCCCGGGAAACCAAAGAUUUUGGGUUCCGGGGGAAGUAUGGUUGCAAAGCUGAAACUUAAAGGAAUUGACGGAAGGGCACCACCAGGAGUGGAGCCUGCGGCUUAAUUUGACCCAACACGGGAAACCUCACCCGGCCCGGACACUUUUAGGAUUGACAGAUUGAAGGCUCUUUCUUGAUCAAGUGGUUGGUGGUGCAUGGCCGUUCUUAGUUGGUGGAGCGAUUUGUCUGGUUAAUUCCGAUAACGAACGAGACUCUACUCUGCUAAAUAGAACGUUGAUAUAUAAAAGUCAGUGCUGACUUCUUAGAGAGACUAACGGCGUUUAGCCGUGUGAGAAAGAGCAAUAACAGGUCUGUGAUGCCCUUAGAUGUCCGGGGCCGCACGCGCGCUACACUGACUGCAGCAACUAGUAUGCUCCUGGUUUGAAAAAAACUGGGUAACCUGGUUGAAUUGCAGGCGUGACAGGGAUCAGAGUUUGCAAUUAUCCUCUGUGAACGAGGAAUUCCCAGUAAGCGCAAGUCAUUAGCUUGUGCUGAUUACGUCCCUGCCCUUUGUACACACCGCCCGUCGCUACUACCGAUUGAAUGGUUUAGUGAGGUCUUCGGAUUGGUGCUGAUGGAGUGGUUCUCUGCUCUGUUAGUGCCGAGAAGAUGAUCAAACUUGAUCAUUUAGAGGAAGUAAAAGUCGUAACAAGGU